RNAcentral lists this ribosomal RNA (447 nucleotides) under uncultured soil bacterium. Its description in RNAcentral is "bacterial SSU rRNA". It matches the Rfam family "Bacterial small subunit ribosomal RNA", at positions 26 to 518 of the family's 1533-position model. The record is from RNAcentral.
AGAACGAACGCUGGCGGCAUGCCUAAUACAUGCAAGUCGAACGAACUCUUCGGAGUUAGUGGCGCACGGGUGCGUAACGCGUGGGAAUCUGCCCUUGGGUUCGGAAUAACAGUUGGAAACGGCUGCUAAUACCGGAUGAUGACGAAAGUCCAAAGAUUUAUCGCCCAGGGAUGAGCCCGCGUAGGAUUAGCUAGUUGGUGAGGUAAAGGCUCACCAAGGCGACGAUCCUUAGCUGGUCUGAGAGGAUGAUCAGCCACACUGGGACUGAGACACGGCCCAGACUCCUACGGGAGGCAGCAGUAGGGAAUAUGGACAAUGGGCGAAAGCCUGAUCCAGCAAUGCCGCGUGAGUGAUGAAGGCCUUAGGGUUGUAAAGCUCUUUUACCCGAGAUGAUAAUGACAGUAUCGGGAGAAUAAAGCCCCGGACUAACUCCGUGCCAGCAGCCGC